GUGGGGAAUUUUGGACAAUGGGCGCAAGCCUGAUCCAGCAAUGCCGCGUGCAGGAAGAAGGCCUUCGGGUUGUAAACUGCUUUUGUACGGAACGAAACGGUCCGGGUUAAUACCCUGGGCUAAUGACGGUACCGUAAGAAUAAGCACCGGCUAACUACGUGCCAGCAGCCGCGGUAAUACGUAGGGUGCAAGCGUUAAUCGGAAUUACUGGGCGUAAAGCGUGCGCAGGCGGUUUUGUAAGACAGGCGUGAAAUCCCCGGGCUCAACCUGGGAAUUGCGAUUGGGACUGCAAGGAUGGAGUGCGGCAGAGGGGGAUGGAAUUCCGCGUGUAGCAGUGAAAUGCGUAGAUAUGCGGAGGAACACCGAUGGCGAAGGCAAUCCCCUGGGCCUGCACUGACGCUCAUGCACGAAAGCGUGGGGAGCAAACAGGAUUAGAUACCCCGGUAGUCC
RNAcentral lists this ribosomal RNA (450 nucleotides) under uncultured bacterium. Its description in RNAcentral is "partial 16S ribosomal RNA". It matches the Rfam family "Bacterial small subunit ribosomal RNA", at positions 354 to 796 of the family's 1533-position model. The record is from RNAcentral.